This 440-nucleotide ribosomal RNA is filed under the name uncultured bacterium. RNAcentral's name for it is "partial 16S ribosomal RNA". It matches the Rfam family "Bacterial small subunit ribosomal RNA", at positions 338 to 795 of the family's 1533-position model. The record is from RNAcentral.
CCUACGGGAGGCAGCAGUGGGGAAUAUUGCACAAUGGGGGAAACCCUGAUGCAGCGACGCCGCGUGAAGGAAGAAGUAUUUCGGUAUGUAAACUUCUAUCAGCAGGGGAGAAAAUGACGGUACCUGACUAAGAAGCCCCGGCUAACUACGUGCCAGCAGCCGCGGUAAUACGUAGGGGGCAAGCGUUAUCCGGAUUUACUGGGUGUAAAGGGAGCGUAGGCGGCGAUGCAAGUCAGAAGUGAAAGCCCGGGGCUCAACCCCGGGACUGCUGUUGAAACUGUAUGGCUAGAGUGCAGGAGAGGCAAGUGGAAUUCCUGGUGUAGCGGUGAAAUGCGUAGAUAUCAGGAGGAACACCAGUGGCGAAGGCAGCUUACUGGACUGUAAAUGACGCUGAGGCUCGAAAGCGUGGGGAGCAAACAGGAUUAGAUACCCGAGUAGUC